AGGAAGUAAAAGUCGUAACAAGGUCUCCGUUGGUGAACCAGCGGAGGGAUCAUUACCGAGUUUACAACUCCCAAACCCCUGUGAACAUACCUAUCGUUGCUUCGGCGGGUCUCGCCCCGGCGCCCUCGGGCCCGGACUCAGGCGCCCGCCGGAGGACCUAAACUCUUGUCUUUAUGAGUAUCUUCUGAGUGACACAAGUAAAUAAAUCAAAACUUUCAACAACGGAUCUCUUGGUUCUGGCAUCGAUGAAGAACGCAGCGAAAUGCGAUAAGUAAUGUGAAUUGCAGAAUUCCGUGAAUCAUCGAAUCUUUGAACGCACAUUGCGCCCGCUAGUAUUCUGGCGGGCAUGCCUGUUCGAGCGUCAUUUCAACCCUCAAGCCCCCGGGCUUGGUGUUGGGGUUCGGCCCGCCCUUAGCGGCGCGCCGUCCCCGAAAUCUAGUGGCGGUCUCGCGAUAGCCUCCUCUGCGUAGUAGCAAUAUCUCGCACUGGGACUGAGCAAGGCCACGCCGUUAAAC
Molecule: unclassified non-coding RNA, 515 nt
Filed under: Microcera rubra
Lineage: Eukaryota; Fungi; Ascomycota; Sordariomycetes; Hypocreales; Nectriaceae
Description: sequence contains 18S rRNA gene, ITS1, 5.8S rRNA gene, ITS2, 28S rRNA gene
Rfam family: 5.8S ribosomal RNA (bases 211-364)
Source: RNAcentral